GCCGCGGUAGCUCAGUGGUAGAGCAGAGGAUUGAAAAUCCUCGUGUCGGUGGUUCAAUUCCGCCUCGCGGCACCA
RNAcentral lists this transfer RNA (75 nucleotides) under bacterium. RNAcentral describes it as "tRNA-Phe". It matches the Rfam family "tRNA". Rfam says of the family: Transfer RNA (tRNA) molecules are approximately 80 nucleotides in length. RNAcentral also lists the same sequence under 2 other names. The record is from RNAcentral.